This 446-nucleotide ribosomal RNA is filed under the name uncultured bacterium. RNAcentral describes it as "bacterial SSU rRNA". It matches the Rfam family "Bacterial small subunit ribosomal RNA", at positions 331 to 794 of the family's 1533-position model. The record is from RNAcentral.
CCAGACUCCUACGGGAGGCAGCAGUGGGGAAUAUUGCACAAUGGGGGAAACCCUGAUGCAGCGACGCCGCGUGAGUGAAGAAGUAUUUCGGUAUGUAAAGCUCUAUCAGCAGGGAAGAAAAUGACGGUACCUGACUAAGAAGCCCCGGCUAACUACGUGCCAGCAGCCGCGGUAAUACGUAGGGGGCAAGCGUUAUCCGGAUUUACUGGGUGUAAAGGGAGCGUAGACGGCAGCGCAAGUCUGGAGUGAAAGGCGGGGGCCCAACCCCCGGACUGCUCUGGAAACUAUUUGACUGGAGUGCCGGAGAGGUAAGCGGAAUUCCUAGUGUAGCGGUGAAAUGCGUAGAUAUUAGGAGGAACACCAGUGGCGAAGGCGGCUUACUGGACUGUAACUGACGUUGAGGCUCGAAAGCGUGGGGAGCAAACAGGAUUAGAUACCCCUGUAUC